CUUCAUCUUGCGGCUGCUCUUGGCUAUGAUUGGGCCUUACAACCCACAAUAAUUUCUGGUGUAAAUGUGAACUUCUGCAUUGUAAAUGGAUGGAUUGCUCUUCAUUGGGCUGCAUUCUAUGGCAGGUACAGGCUCUUCUAUCUGAUAAAGAAGAAUUGGAGAAAGACUUGAAAAGAUUAAAUGAUAAGCUUACUUCAGCCUCUUUGACUAUAAUGCUAAAGGUGAGCUGUUGAAAAAAAAACAAAAAUCGCUCAGGAAGCAACAGCAGGUAAUAUUCAUUGAUCUGUAUAUUUCCCUUAUCUGUCCCCACUGUUCUGUAAUAUAGGACUUGAAAAAUACAGAAAUAACCAAAUUAUGUGUAAUCGAGAGAAUUUAGUCUUGGGGGGUCACUUUCACGGUGCACCUUCUCAGGUGAAGAUUGCUCUCUAUCCAAAGAAGCUAAUAAUUUGAAGAUCAAACUUGGGCAUGAAGAGAUUAUUAUAUCUCACGGGACCAGCCCUUUUAAUUUCUUUCUCCCUGGUCUCAUUUCUAAGCUUCUAUUUAAUAUUAUAAUAUAAUAUAGUAAUAUGUCACAUGGAACUACCUCUUCUGCCAGUGGUAUUAGUCCAUAGUGAAUUUGUGUAAUAUUUAUAUAUGAAUGAAUACAGAUUUAAUUUGGUAUUUCCUUUGUUGUAUCUCUGAUCUGAAUGCUGUGGACCCAAACACAUUUUGUAUUUCUUACACAUGAUAAUGCUUUCUUUGUUUCUAUGUUAGAUAUAUCUUAAGUACAAGACACCAACACAUUUUGUUCUGAUUCUGAAUACUGGACAUAUCAUACAAUUAACCUAAACACUUAUCAAACUUUGACCAGUCAUUAUCCUUUUGCUUAGUUCUCAUCCUGUUAAUGUGUUUGAAGAAUACAACCUUGUACUAGUGUGAUGCUCAUAGAGAAAGAGAGAGAGAAAGAAAAAAGAAAAAGAAAAUUAUGAGAGAUAGAGCAUUGAAGAGUUGUUGGCAUUUGGGGAGGAUGCAGUCCUCAUUAACGCCAUCACUGGUCAACCUCUUCUAACUAACUAAUGGGGUCUUACCCUCCACUCUCUCCACCAUGGCGCUUCUUAUUAUCUGCUUCUACAUACCCUCCCUCACGCACCUUAUUAGUAACAAAUCAUGCCUCAUUUUCCUUCAUUCCCAUUUCUCAUCACUUACCUUGAUUACUUAUUACUCACACUUUUCAUUUUUUAUUUUUUUUUUGUGUUUGUCUCUUUUGCAGAUUUAGCAAGGUAGACAAGUGUUGAAGGAAAGGACUUUUAAGCAUCUACUAUAUAUAGGAUCGAUGGAGGGAAUUUAGAUCUAUCUAUGGCAUUGUGUGUUUGAGUUUAGAGUUUCUUCUAUCACUUUCCUACUAUUAUAUUAUAAAAUAUAUAUCUUUAAUUAAUUAUCUACUUAUUACUUGUCUACUUUGUGUUUAAGUAUUAGCAUUAGGGUUAUAUGAAUAUGAGUUCUUUUAAUUUCGCCAAUUUACUUCUACCAUGUAAUCUUCUUAGCCACCCUAUAUUAGUCCAAUGAAAACUUUCUUAGCUUCUUGCUAUGGUCGUAUAUAUGGCUUUAAUUUGUGCCUCUCAUCGUUCUUAUUAUUAUUCCCAAGGAAAAAUGAGUUAUUGUAUUAGGAGAAGUUAUAUAUAGAAAUCUAUAUAAUGCAUUUUAAUUAAUUUUACUUUUUCUUAAUGCUACUCGUGAUAAAAUGAUCAUAAGAGAUAAGAUAAAACGUGGAUUAUAUAACAAAUGAGAGUUUACACUCCAUUUUAUAAUGUGAUCUUUUGUUUAUAAUAUGUUAGUUUAAUUAUAUCAAUUUAGCAGGUUUCAGAAAAAGUUGUAUUAAGUACAAUAGAUAUUGAAGUAUGCUUAUACUAUAAAUUAGAUGAAUGAAUCUUCUAAAUAAUUUUUAAAUUUGGUACUUUCAACUCUUGAGUGGAAGAUGAAUCCACCAACAUGCCUCUCUUUCAUUGAUUACAUCAUAAGAAGACUUAAAAUGUUUUCAGUUCCUCAACACAUGUCAAUCUCUUCUUCUUUCUCUCUUAUUAGAUUCCAGGUUUAUUGGUUAUUGUGAUUCUAGAUCAUUAUCUUUCUAAGAGAGAUCAAUUUACAUUUGACAGAGGCACAGAAUACUGGAGGAGUUUGUUUUUCUUUGGGAAAGGGCAUGUACCGUGUGCUUUAUAUUUCUGAAGAUGAAGCUGUUCUCUU
Arachis ipaensis is the source of this 2220-nucleotide non-coding RNA. NCBI's taxonomy places the organism in Eukaryota, Viridiplantae, Streptophyta, Magnoliopsida, Fabales, Fabaceae. The record is from RefSeq and is a predicted model, not a curated record.